GCCGGAGGCGUCGUGAGGGACAGCUGGCCGGAGCCGCCAGCAGGGGUUUGUUCCUGACUGAGGGACUAAUGACAUCUCUGUGGGAGCUGAGAGGCCUUGCUGGGAUGAGGUGUUCAGGCAACGUGACAGCAUACAGAAGGUUGCUGAGAAACCGGAGAACAGACAAGUUGCAAGCCUGAGGACCACCUUAACAAGUAAGGAACUGUCAGAACCAGAGACUGAAAUUGUGAACUGUACAUGGUUGGUAUGACAUAUCCAUGGGUUGGUUUCCAAAAACUACUACUAUGCAGCACUUAAUGCACUUAAACCUGUACUUGUUAUUAGUUAUGAUAGAAGUAAUGGCAUUCUUUAUAUAUGCUUUGCUUGUUUCAAAAGGAAAGAGUGUGCUCAUGUGCCAGGUUGAACACCUGAUGUGCAUUGCUAGCCUAACAGUUGUGGUGGCUUCCAGCUGGAAGGGGUUGAGCUUACAAGCACCCAGAGUGGUCUGAAUGUCCUCGGAGGAGGUCAGGCAGACCAGAGGGUGGCUUGUGAGAGAGAGGUCCUGCUGGAGCAUGCAGCCCCACAAGAGCCAAGGCCCCAGCAGUGCUGGCAGAAGAGUGACAAACAUGUGCCUCUGCUGCUGCUCUCUGGUAUGUAAACUGCCAGAUAAGGUCCUGCUAGUGCUUGGUCAGCUUGCACAGGGAUCAAGGCUAAGAUGGAAUAGUUGCAUCUAAUAACUGCAGGAGGUAAACUAAACCCAGUGGGACAACUGUGGGGGAGUCGUGGGGAGCCAGGCUGCCCGCAGCGGGUAUCCCUGCUGGUAACACCAUGUAAGGCUGUGACUGCCUGGGUAAUGGUGUCAGAAAUACCGCAGUUAGGUAUGGCUGUAGCAAAACCAGGAGGAAUGAGGAGGAAGUAAUUGGGGCAGGUUGUUUAUCUGGGAGGGAUUUGGGUGGAGGAGAGGAGGUGGCAAAAAGGUGGGCCCUGAUGCCAAAGAAUGAGGUAUGAAGUCCACCAAAGAAGACCAGAGGGCUCCUGCUCAUGGUGGGAGUGUGGAUGCCUACAACCGGUAGCACAACUGACCUGCACACUCAAGCCCUGGGAAGCUGGAAGGCAUCGCCUGGGAUAACCCACUGGACUUGCUCCAUCAUGUUUCUGGCUGUAUGUCAUGGCAUGGGGGGAUAAACCUGCACCUUGGGACUUAAAAAACUGUCAUUGAGGGUUGGCCACAUGUGAGGCUUGUUAGAUCUGAGAUUCAGAGCUUGUAACUUCAUAGCUGUGCCUUAUGGUUUGCAUACAUAUAUAACUUGAUCAGUGGUACAGUACUUAGGUUAUUGAUUAUUUUUUCUGUUUUGCUAGUUUCCUCAUAGUGUGUUCACCAGUCAAUAAACAAUGUGCCUCAGU
Molecule: long non-coding RNA, 1383 nt
Organism: Harpia harpyja (harpy eagle)
Lineage: Eukaryota; Metazoa; Chordata; Aves; Accipitriformes; Accipitridae
Exons: 2
Source: RefSeq, a predicted model, not a curated record